This 136-nucleotide ribosomal RNA is filed under the name uncultured phototrophic eukaryote. RNAcentral's name for it is "partial 16S ribosomal RNA". It matches the Rfam family "Bacterial small subunit ribosomal RNA", at positions 355 to 504 of the family's 1533-position model. The record is from RNAcentral.
UGGGGAAUUUUCCGCAAUGGGCGAAAGCCUGACGGAGCAAUACCGCGUGAGGGAAGACGGCCUAUGGGUUGUAAACCUCUUUUCUCAGGGAGGAACUCAAUGACGUGUACCUGAGGAAUAAGCAUCGGCUAACUCC